AUGGCCAUGAGGGUCGACUCGGCAAUCCUCGCCGUCGUCGUCGCCUUCCUCCUCCCCCUCCGCCUGCUCUCCCUCUUCGCCCGCCUGAAAUCCUCCGGUAGCGCAGGCGAUCUCCGCCGAUCCUGCACCGCCCUCGCCAUCGCGGCCGCGCUCCUUGCCACCUUCUUCGCCCUACCCCGCUACGACGGCGGUCGCACGGGGCAGUGCACCGCCCCCGUUGGUUUCGCUUGGGAGGAGGGUACCGGCCGAGAGGUUCGGUUGGAAAUCGAGCAGCUGAAGCUGCAGCUCAACCGAUUGGAAUCAUUAUGGGAAAACAAUUCAAAAGCACCAGAUGACAAAGGUGAUGCUUCAGAGGAAGAUGCCGAGUUUGUGAAAGCGAUGGGACUGGACAUUCAGGCUCUGAUCAAGGAACAAGAAAACAUCAAGGAAUCAUUAUGGAGUUCUGGCGGUACUAUCAAAUCAGUCGAAAAUGAGGUACGAAUUCUGGCGGCAGAAUCCAGAAAGAUGAACUCUGAUAUUUACAAUGUGUGGUCAUUGGCCAACGAUACAGAGAAAACGGUUGAAGCUCUACAUUCAGAUGUCCAAAAGGCUCAAAUUAUAAUGGAUGAAUCAAGGAAGAUGAACUCUAAUGCUCACCAGAUAUGGUCAUUGGCAAAGGAUACAGCAAAAAAGGUCGAAUCUCUGUAUACAGAUGUUGCAAAGGUUCAAAGUGUAAUUGAUAUAUCAAAAAAGAUGGAAUCUAAUAUACACAAAGCGUGGUCUUAUGCAAAGCAGACAGAGAAGAGGGUUGAAGAUAUAUAUUCAGAUGUCAAAAAGGGCUUCAAGAAGAAGGCCUGGAUGAGCUGA
RNAcentral lists this ribosomal RNA (846 nucleotides) under Triticum aestivum (bread wheat). RNAcentral's name for it is "partial small subunit ribosomal RNA". Lineage: Eukaryota; Viridiplantae; Streptophyta; Magnoliopsida; Poales; Poaceae. The record is from RNAcentral.